AUACUGGGCCUUCUCAGGUCUUGUAAUUGGAAUGAGUACAAUUUAAAAACCUUAACGAGGAACAAGUGGAGGGCAAGUCUGGUGCCAGCAGCCGCGGUAAUUCCAGCUCCACUAGUGUAUAUUAAAGUUGUUGCGGUUAAAAAGCUCGUAGUUGAACCGCGGGUCGGGGGGGUUGGGCUUCUCCGUAGGGGAUCUUCCCUCAGGGGAAGAUCUGUCCGCGGGGAGCGAAAGCCUCUCCCCUCCGCCCAACGAUACUUUCCGGAGCAAUCGGGGGCUCCGUCUUUCCUCUCUCGUCUUCGGGCGGGAGGGGGGGGGCGGGGUCUCGCCCCGGAUAUGUUACUUUGAAGAAAUUUGAGUGUUCAAAGCAGGCAUAAAUUUGCCUUGAAGACGUUAGCAUGGGAUAACGAAAGAUGACCUUGAGCCCGACCUUCGUUGGUUCUUCGAGCUUAGGUAAUGAUUAAUAGGGACGGUCGGGGUCGCUGGUACCGAGUGGCUAGAGGUGAAAUUCUAUGACCCACUCGAGACCGACAAAAGCGAAAGCAUUCGACAAGGAUGUUUUCAUUAAUCAAGAACGAAAGUAGAGGGAUCGAAGAUGAUCAGAUACCGUCGUAGUCUCUACCGUAAACGAUGACGACUCGGGAUCUGAGGGCGUUACAUGGAUGACCCCUCAGGCACCGUGUGAGAAAUCAUAAGUAUCCAGUCUCCGGGGGGAGUAUGGUCGCAAGGCUGAAACUUAAAGGAAUUGACGGAAGGGCACCACCAGGCGUGGAAUUUGCGGCUUAAUUUGACCCAACACGGGGAAACUUACCAAGUCCGAGCACAACGAGGAUUGACAGAUUGAUAGCUCUUUCUUGAUUUUGUGAAGAGUGGUGCAUGGCCGUUUUUAGUUGGUGGAGUGAUCUGUCUGGUUAAUUCCGUUAACGAACGAGACCUUAACCUAUUAAAUAGAGGCACGGACGCGGAAGUUCGGGAAGGUUUCGGCCGACUCGGCUUUCACACUUUGAUCCGCGCAUAAAUUACUUCUUAGAGGGACAAUUCGCUAUUAAGCGAAAUGAAGUUUAGGGCAAAAACAGGUCUGUGAUGCCCUCAGAUGUUUUGGGCUGCACGCGUAUUACACUGUUGAGUGUAACGAGUCUAACAGAACAACCCUAGCCCGGAGGGGUGGGGUAAGCUUCUAAAGCUCAACGUGACGGGGAUUGUGCCUUGUAAUUAUUGCACAUGAACGAGGAAUGCCUAGUAAGCGUGAGUCAUCAACUCGCGCUGAUUACGUCCCUGCCCUUUGUACACACCGCCCGUCGCUCCUACCGAUUGAACGGCCCGAUGAGGACUCGGGACGGAGGGUGGCCGGGCGGCCGAAAGGCCGUUCCGUUCGCCAGCCGGAACCUGUUCAAAUCUUGUCGUUUAGAGGAAGGAGA
This 1415-nucleotide ribosomal RNA is filed under the name metagenome. RNAcentral describes it as "SSU rRNA". It matches the Rfam family "Eukaryotic small subunit ribosomal RNA", at positions 483 to 1786 of the family's 1831-position model. The record is from RNAcentral.